GAAGAAUAUGCAGCUCUGAUGCUUCUUACCAGAAACAGACCACGGACCUCACACAAAGGUUUAAGGAAAGGCGGUACAAAGACAAUUGGGUAAAACAUGCCAAUAAUCAUUUUGAUGGGCUAACACACUUGGAAAGCCUUCAACCAAAAGCCUUCAACCCCUCAUCCUUUACCCGAUACUCACCAUUGGGGAAAGCAUUUUUUAAGGACAUUAUCAGGAAGCACUGGUACAUUAUUGAUAAUAACCCACAAUUGAAACCCAUCUGUAAAUAUCCCCUACGUAUGGUCUUUAAAAGACCCCAAACGGUGAUUAUCCACCAGAGAAAAGGGAAACAUAGUUGGACAAGGUUCUGGAGGGGAAAACCCGUAGAAGCCUUCAGACCUGGACUACAGCAAUAUACGGACAAGUGAGAGAGAAAAACCCGGUUGCUGUUCAUUUUGUACCAGCUGGACAUCCUAUUAGUUCUCUGAGAUACAUAGGAAUAGAAAUGGUCAAGAUGUCACGCAGCGGAGGGGACAUUGAGAGGAAACUUCUUCAAAAAGGGAAUCUUUCUGGAUCCACAGCCUCGACACACUGUCUCCUCUUGGCCUUAACGAGGAGUUCGACUUAAAACCGUUUUUAUAGUUCCAAAUAAUUGUGUUUUGUAUCCUAAUUGAAUAUUGUGUAGGCUGGAGUCAUUAAAACUCGUUUUUCAACUACUCCACAAAUUUCUUGUUAACAAACCAUAGUUUUGGCAAGUCGGUUAGGACAUCUACUUUGUGCAUGACACAAGUAAUUUUUCCAGCAAUUGUUUACAGACAGAUUAUUUCACUUAUAAUUAACUGUAUCACAAAUCCAGUGGGUCAGAAGUUUACAUACACUAAGUUGACUGUGCCUUUAAACAGCUUGGAAAAUUCCAGAAAAUUAUGUCAUGGCUUUAGAAGCUUCUGAUAGGCUAAUUGACGUCAUUUGAGUCAAUUGGAGGUGUACCUGUGGAUGUAUUUCAAGGCCUACCUUCAAACUCAGUGCCUUUUUGCUUGACAUCAUGGGAAAAUCAAAAGAAAUUAGCCAAGACCUCAGAAAAAAAAUUGUAGACCUCCACAAGUCUGGUUCAUCCCUGGGAGCAAUUUUCAAAUGCAUGAAGGUACCACGUUC
This 1134-nucleotide long non-coding RNA is filed under the name Salmo salar (Atlantic salmon). Its description in RNAcentral is "lncRNA (ENSSSAG00000089789.1, ENSSSAG00020078543.1, ENSSSAG00075038036.1)". The record is from RNAcentral. Lineage: Eukaryota; Metazoa; Chordata; Actinopteri; Salmoniformes; Salmonidae.